Dalotia coriaria is the source of this 552-nucleotide long non-coding RNA. RefSeq lists it as uncharacterized. Lineage: Eukaryota; Metazoa; Arthropoda; Insecta; Coleoptera; Staphylinidae. The record is from RefSeq and is a predicted model, not a curated record. The transcript has 2 exons.
UUGUGCGUACUGCAAACAAAAAACAAAGCCGGGAAUUAGCGGCGUGAACAUUUCCAUUUGAGGAGUCAGAAUCAGCCGGUUUAGUUAUGAUUAAUAGCAGGUUACAACGCAGUGUCAUUUACGACGCGCACGCUAGGAAGGGGUGUGAAAAUUGUCGAGAGCGUGCGGAAUGAAGUUGAGGAGAUAAUUACUGGUGACGUGUCAAACGCCCUCGUCUGGUUUGAUGAGAGAAAAAAAGCGGCACGUCAACAAGGCAAACCAGAAACAACAUACAAAGUCAUUCAAGCAGAACCCAAGUACAAAACAUUUGAGCAACUAAAUCGUCGAUGGCAACCUGAUUUGCUGACCCGAGAAUGACCAAACCCAUUGCGAUGCCGGCGGCCUCGCCGACGACAGCGUCGUCUUCGAAAAGUCGAUCACGAAGCAAAGAGAAAACCUCCUCGUUGCACGUGCCCAUCGCGGCCAAUCCCAACCCGAGGCAACCGCCGUGUUUGAUGUUCUACAAAAUUACAUUUUGUUUCAAUUCCGAGUCAAUAAACCACGAAAUAUUUU